GACGAACGCUGGCGGCGUGCUUAACACAUGCAAGUCGAACGGAAAGGCCCCUUUUGGGGUCCUCGAGUGGCGCACGGGUGAGUAACACGUGAGUAACCUGCCCUUGACUUCGGGAUAACUUCAGGAAACUGGGGCUAAUACCGGAUAGGAAUCCUUGCUGCAUGGUGGGGGUUGGAAAGCUUCGGCGGUUUUGGAUGGACUCGCGGCUUAUCAGCUUGUUGGUGGGGUAGUGGCUUACCAAGGCUUUGGCGGGUAGCCGGCCUGAGAGGGCGACCGGCCCCAGUGGGACUGAGAUACGGCCCAGACUCCGACGGGAGGCAGAAGUAGGGAAGAUUGCACAAUGGGCGGAAGCCGGAUGCAGCAACGCCGCGGGCGGGAUGACGGCCUUCGGGUUGUAAACCGAUUUCAGCAGGGGCGAAGCUUGUGGUGACGGUACCUGGAGAAGAAGCACCGGCUAACUACGUG
Molecule: ribosomal RNA, 465 nt
Filed under: uncultured bacterium
Lineage: Bacteria
Description: partial 16S ribosomal RNA
Rfam family: Bacterial small subunit ribosomal RNA
Source: RNAcentral